UACGUAGGGUGCGAGCGUUAAUCGGAUUUACUGGGCGCAAAGCGUGCGCAGGCGGCCGUGAAAGUCCGGUGUGAAAACUCACGGCUCAACCGUGGGACUGCGCUGGAAACUACACGGCUUGAGGACGGUAGAGGGAGACGGAACUGCUGGUGUAGGGGUGAAAUCCGUAGAUAUCAGCAGGAACGCCGGUGGGGAAGCCGGUCUCCUGGGCCGUUCCUGACGCUGAGGCCCGAAAGCUAGGGGAGCAAACCGG
This 253-nucleotide ribosomal RNA is filed under the name uncultured microorganism. RNAcentral's name for it is "partial 16S ribosomal RNA". It matches the Rfam family "Bacterial small subunit ribosomal RNA", at positions 524 to 776 of the family's 1533-position model. The record is from RNAcentral.